AAUCUAAUCUAAAUUAUUUUGUAUAGUAAUAUUAUGUUCAAUUGUGUUUUGGGUUUACAGAUUUACCAAACACAUGUGAAUCCUACACCUGUCAUACAUGCAUCAUUCUUCUUCCUCCUCCUCCACCACCUUUUCCACCACUGACAAUGAAAACCAUAUAUAUGAAACCUACAAAUAUGCAACUUUAUCAAGAUUUCAUGCCUGACUGUUCCACUGUAAAGAUGGUAGAUGAGGAUGUCAUAGGACCAAAGGGUGAAAAGGGCCGCAGAGGAGAACAAGGGGAAAAAGGUCUCCCUGGCCCAAUUGGACCAGAAGGGAUUCCAGGGCUCCAUGGUGUCAUGGGUCCUUCUGGAGACCAGGUUUUCAUAA
Molecule: long non-coding RNA, 369 nt
Organism: Anguilla rostrata (American eel)
Lineage: Eukaryota; Metazoa; Chordata; Actinopteri; Anguilliformes; Anguillidae
Exons: 5
Source: RefSeq, a predicted model, not a curated record